This 24-nucleotide non-coding RNA is filed under the name Arabidopsis thaliana (thale cress). The record is from RNAcentral. Lineage: Eukaryota; Viridiplantae; Streptophyta; Magnoliopsida; Brassicales; Brassicaceae.
AGCCAUAAACAUCAUACGUUCACA